RNAcentral lists this ribosomal RNA (492 nucleotides) under uncultured bacterium. RNAcentral's name for it is "partial 16S ribosomal RNA". It matches the Rfam family "Bacterial small subunit ribosomal RNA", at positions 28 to 507 of the family's 1533-position model. The record is from RNAcentral.
GAUGAACGCUAGCUACAGGCUUAACACAUGCAAGUCGAGGGGAGACGACAUCGAAAGCUUGCUUUUGAUGGGCGUCGACCGGCGCACGGGUGAGUAACGCGUAUCCAACCUGCCCAUCACUUGGGAAUAACCUUGCGAAAGUAAGACUAAUACCCAAUGACAUCCCACGAAGACAUCUGAAUGGGAUUAAAGAUUUAUCGGUGAUGGAUGGGGAUGCGUCUGAUUAGCUUGUUGGCGGGGUAACGGCCCACCAAGGCAACGAUCAGUAGGGGUUCUGAGAGGAAGGUCCCCCACAUUGGAACUGAGACACGGUCCAAACUCCUACGGGAGGCAGCAGUGAGGAAUAUUGGUCAAUGGGCGAGAGCCUGAACCAGCCAAGUAGCGUGCAGGAUGACGGCCCUAUGGGUUGUAAACUGCUUUUAUAAGGGAAUAAAGUGGGUCUCGUGAGACUUUUUGCAUGUACCUUAUGAAUAAGGACCGGCUAAUUCCGUG